GUGCCUAAUACAUGCAAGUCGAGCGAACGGACGAGAAGCUUGCUUCUCUGAUGUUAGCGGCGGACGGGUGAGUAACACGUGGAUAACCUACCUAUAAGACUGGGAUAACUUCGGGAAACCGGAGCUAAUACCGGAUAAUAUUUUGAACCGCAUGGUUCAAAAGUGAAAGACGGUCUUGCUGUCACUUAUAGAUGGAUCCGCGCUGCAUUAGCUAGUUGGUAAGGUAACGGCUUACCAAGGCAACGAUGCAUAGCCGACCUGAGAGGGUGAUCGGCCACACUGGAACUGAGACACGGUCCAGACUCCUACGGGAGGCAGCAGUAGGGAAUCUUCCGCAAUGGGCGAAAGCCUGACGGAGCAACGCCGCGUGAGUGAUGAAGGUCUUCGGAUCGUAAAACUCUGUUAUUAGGGAAGAACAUAUGUGUAAGUAACUGUGCACAUCUUGACGGUACCUAAUCAGAAAGCCACGGCUAACUACGUGCCAGCAGCCGCGGUAAUACGUAGGUGGCAAGCGUUAUCCGGAAUUAUUGGGCGUAAAGCGCGCGUAGGCGGUUUUUUAAGUCUGAUGUGAAAGCCCACGGCUCAACCGUGGAGGGUCAUUGGAAACUGGAAAACUUGAGUGCAGAAGAGGAAAGUGGAAUUCCAUGUGUAGCGGUGAAAUGCGCAGAGAUAUGGAGGAACACCAGUGGCGAAGGCGACUUUCUGGUCUGUAACUGACGCUGAUGUGCGAAAGCGUGGGGAUCAAACAGGAUUAGAUACCCUGGUAGUCCACGCCGUAAACGAUGAGUGCUAAGUGUUAGGGGGUUUCCGCCCCUUAGUGCUGCAGCUAACGCAUUAAGCACUCCGCCUGGGGAGUACGACCGCAAGGUUGAAACUCAAAGGAAUUGACGGC
This 892-nucleotide ribosomal RNA is filed under the name uncultured bacterium. Its description in RNAcentral is "bacterial SSU rRNA". It matches the Rfam family "Bacterial small subunit ribosomal RNA", at positions 44 to 917 of the family's 1533-position model. The record is from RNAcentral.